GGCGUCACCGUAGGGAGGCGGCGAGCGUCCCCGGAAAGCUGCAGGAGCGGGGCUCCGGAGCCCCGAGCCGCGCGACCCGGUGCUCCGUCAGCGAAGCUGUGUGACCUUGGCCGAGUCGCUUGGCCUCUCUGAGCCCUGGGCGCCGCCGCGGAACCUGAGGGUUCCUCGGAGCGGAAAGAUCUCAGGGCCCUCCAGCACUGAGGGUCCCUCCAAUCCAGCCCAGCCAGGCUGUGAAGCCCCCAAGUGAUGGUGUCAAGCUGACCUGUGUUCCGGUCCCAGGUACAGCCAGCUCUGUGACCUUGGCCACUCACUCAAGCCUCCAUGUGUAAAAGGAAGCCAGGACCCCACUCCCAGCUGGCAGUGGAGGUCAGAGGUGCGAACAGAGGGCCCAGACAGCUGGGACAGCUGAGCCACAAGUACCAGGAUCAAGGCCCCCCAACUCUUGACUGCCUUCUUGCCACUUUUUGCUGUGCGAUGUGCUGUGGAAUGUGUGUAAUGGCCAGAAUGGUGUUGUCCCCCAAAAGGUCAUGUCCACCCAGAACCUCAGGAUGUGAAUUUUUUUGGAAAUAGGGUCUUUGCAGAUAUACUUUAGGUAAGAAUCAAAAUGAGAGUGUCCUUUGUAAUAGGAAACAACAAGCAGAGACUCAGGGAUGGGGGACGCCAUUGAAAACAGGCAGAGGUUUAGAGCCAGGGCAUGCCUGGAGCCAUCAGGAGCUAGAAGAGGUAGAAAAGACCCUCCCCUAGAGCCUGUGGAGGGAGCACAGCCCUGCGGACCUCUUGCCUUUGGACGUCUGACUGCAGAAGAACAUUUCUGUCAUGUGAAGCCCCCGGUCUGCGGUCAUUUGUCAUGGCUGCCCCUGGACACUCUUACAGCGUGAUUUCCCCUCACUCCAGCGCAAUUUAAUUCAGCUCCGCGGAUAGUGAAUCGCUACCCUGCAGGACUAGACCCCACUAAGGACUUGGGGGCCUCCAAGAGGAAUGAGACCCAGCUCGUCCACUUUAAGGAACAGACGGCCUAGACUCCUGUCUCCAAAGCAGAUGGCCACCCAUCUGCGGGAGCUUUCUCUUCGCAUACUGUUCCCUUUCCCAGGAAGCAGCUAGGAGCCUCCUGGAGGGGAGAGUGGACGACGACCUGCCAGUCCCUCCCAGUGUUGUCCCUCAGGCCUGGCCGUGGGGCUGUGGUUCUCUUAGCCAGCCGCUGUUCUCCCUCCCACCUAGGGCUCCUUCCCUAAAACAGCCUCCAGCUCCGGGCUGUUUGGAGCUGGUUCUGUCCCCUCUCUCUGCAAAAGGUGAUCCCUGGCUUCAGGUGGGAUUUGAACAUUCCUCCACCUCCUACAAAGUGGAGGGCCUGAGGAUCCAUGGGAGGAGGCUGGGGAGGUGGGGCGCAGUGUUAAGUCAGAUGGUGGGGCCUUCCUCCACACAGUCAAAGGGGUUGCAGGUAAAAGGGAAGCAGGCCAUGUGUUCAGACAAGGAGAGAUGCCCGGUGAGACGCUGAGUGGGACAGCAAGUUCACUCCCAGGAGUGAACAUACCUGCAACGUGCCUAACUCAGGCCAGGCAUCAACGGUGCCAUGGGCCCUGCCCUCGGGAGCUCACGGCGUAGGUCUAGGGCAGAACAGUAGGUCUGUCUACGUUUUCCAUAAAGCUGGAACGGAGUAUAAAUUAAUACUAUUUUUGAGAAAGAGAGCGAGGGAAAGACUGGGAGUUCACCCCAAAUGCCCCAAAGAAACGCUUUUGUAAUGAAGACGUGGUGUGCCUGGAUGACUUCCUGUGUCCGGAGUGGCGACACUGGUGACUUUGCUGCGGAGGCAGGGCCAGGGCUGUGGCCAGGGCUCGGCCACCUGCACCCCACCCCCCGCCCUGUCACCCCACUUCUCCCUUCUCGUUUACAACCCAGCCCUAGAGGAGGAGCCUAGAGGCUACGUUGGGAUAGGAAAAUGAAAACAGGGCUAAGGUUGAGAGUCCAGUUAAGACCAGAGCUCCUCGAGCAGUCGGGGCUCAGGUGCACACACAGCCUCUGUGCCGGGAUCCCCCACUUACCUUUCCCUGAGGGUUCAUUGAGGGGUGUGCAUGGUGUCCAGUUGGAGAUACCUACUGAGUUUCAUUUUUCCUUUGUCCGAGGCUCUGUCUUUCUGAGACAGAAAACAAAGAGACCCAAAACCCCUUAUGUGCAGGCCUUAAGAAGUGGGUCCCUACUCUUACCGACGGCACCCUUGCUUGGUGCCUCAGCUCCUGAUCACCUCAUGUGAUCGCCACAACUCUGUGUGCCUGGUUCUGAGAGCUGCUGCUAUUGUUCCGUUUUACAGAUGUGGACCGGUCACCGUGGGCCCAGGGCUGUGCAGCUUGUGCGUGUUGGAACCACGUCCUGACAUAAGUCAGUUGCCCAGGCUCUGUCCCUCCCGGAGGAAAGUACAAAGGGACAGCGUGCCACAAAAACAUCAGUACAGAACCAUCAGAACCGUCCCUGGCUGUGAAACGCGGGAAGGCCAUGCCAGCGCAUCCGAAGGGAAGAAUGCCAACAGCAAGGAUUCCUGCUGCCACAGAGAGUCGUGAGGCCUGAAUGGGUCCCCGUUGCAGGGUGUUCUACACAGGGCUGAUGGGACCUCACUCGGGCACCGGCAUGUGACCUCUCCAUGGCAGCCGGCUUCCAAGAGCGAGCAUCCCAAGAGAAGUGGGUAGAAGGUGCAUCACCUUUAUGACCCAGCACCAGAUCUGGGACAGAGUUACUUUGACCAUGGUCACAAGCCUGCUUCAACUCAAGGGAAAGAGAUCUAGUCCCCACUUCUUUUGGGAGGAGCAGAAAAAUCCUACUAUAAGAAGAGCGUGUAGGUGGGAGAUACUGUUGGGAAAACACAACCUGUAACUCCUUUCUCCUGCUCCCGGCCUCCCCUUUGUCUGACAGACCCAUCCUCUGUCCAUAGAGGAAGCCCAUGACCCAGGCUGGGCCAAGUGUAACUCACGGUCUCUCCAACCAUGGGGAUCGGGCCAGGAGUGGGCCCGUGACCCCAACCAGCGCAGCAGUAGCCAAGCCCACAGCCACAAACCCUGCCUCAGGAAUGGACGGCAUGGCAGAAAGACAGAUGAUGCCAUCCUGUUGCUGUCCACCCAGGACUCUUGUCUUCAGGGUCUUCUGAGGAAAAUGACAGCUUAGCUGGACAAGCCACAGGAGUGGGUUUCCUGUGACAGCCGAGCACAAUCCUAGUUUAUACUCGGAACAAACAGCCACUUUCACAUCCACUCCGUGUUCAUCACUGAAGCAAACACAAAGCCCAGGAUCACCGUGGAUGGCGACUCUAUUUGAAUAGCUAUUCAGAGAGGGACCACGUCUCUUUUGUUCAUCUUUCCAAGCACUGGACAUAAAAGACUCUCAAUAAACUUAUCUUGGAUGAAUGAGUGAGUGGAGCAGACUAGCAAAAGGCUCCGUGACAGUGGGUCCGGUGUCAGAUAAAUCUGGGUUCAAAGCCCACUCCCUCCUCUUACCACCUUUUGGAUCUUGGGCAGGUCCACUAACCUCCCCCCGCCUCAGUGCCUUAUCUGUCAAACGGUGAUACCGCGAUCAACCACCUGCGAGACUUGUGGUGAGGAUGAGCAGGUUGAACGGGGGUUCUCUCUGGCGUUGUUACUGACCUGUCAGGAGUGAGAGUGGCACUGGGGGCCGAAGAGGUGGAGAGUAAUGGGGAGAUGGCCCCACUUCCGUGCCCGAAGAGGUGGGAUCUGUUUUCAGCAUCUACACGUUCCUGAUCCUUGGGCAGGGCGGUUUGGGCUGGGCUCCACAGGUGAUCCUUCUGUGGGAUGGCGUGGGACCACUCACAUGGCUCUAGUGAUUUGGUGGUACACCGGGGCUGCAUGGUCAGAGGUGGCCACUGCCACCUGCCUGGUGGUUCAUGUAGCUUGCUUGGCUCUCUUCUGCUCCACGUGGCCUCAUCUUCCGUUGGCAGAUUGGGUCUCCUUGUGGCCAUCCGAGAGAGUGGGAGCGGGGCCUGCAGGGCCCCUCAAAACCGAGGUCAGAGGUCGCACAUCACUUCUGCCACACUGUGUGGGCCCAAGCCCUUUGCAGAUUUGCCAAGUCUCAUUGCAGAGGAGCAGGUCCAUAGGCCCGCGUGUUUCAGCUCCUUUUCCCAACCAUACCAUCUGCGUGAUGAUCUACCCCCCAAAUCUGCAGUUUUUACUCUGAAUCAUUUUCUACUGCUGUUGUCAGAGAUUUGCCACGAACCUCGUAUUAACACUCUGGAGGUCGGAAGCCUAAAAUGGUCUGCAGGUCUGCGUUUCUUCUGGAGGCUCUGGAGGUGAAUGUGUUCUCCUGCUUUUCCCAGUUUCUGGAGGUGCCAUGCUCCCUGGCCUGCGGCUCCUCCCUCCAUCUUCCCAGCCGGCAGCUCAGCGUCUUCACCCCCGUCUGACCCCCCUACCUGCCUCUCACGAGCACACUUGGGAUUGCAUUUAGGGCUCGCCUGAAUCGUCCAGAACAAUCCACUCGUCUCGACACCCUCCAUCUACACGGGUCCCUUUGCCAAGUGAGGUAAAUAUUCACAGGUUCCAGGGCCUUGGGACCUGGACAUCACUGGGGUGGUUAUUCUGCGUAGCACAGAUUCUCACAUGCUUUCUUUCUAAUUUGGUAGUUUCCAGACGUUUUCUAACAUAUUGCCAUAUGAGGUUAAAAAAAUAUAAGAGCAUGCCGUACUCUAUGUAAUUAAAAGCCUGGGCUCCUCAGCCCAACUCCGAGGCACAUCCCCUGCCGGCUGCCCUGGCCGCACUCCUCAAACUCCCCACGCCUCCGUUUCCCCACCUGCACGACGAGGGCCGCUCGCGUCCUGUGGGUGCCUUAACAAAACACCACACGCUGGGUGAUUUAAACAGCACACGCCAACCGUCCCACGGCUCUGGAGGCCAGUUGUGCGAGAUCAUGGUUUGCGGGGAGGACUCUGGCUCGCAGGCCGCCACCCUGCCAUUGCAUCCUCACACGAUGGAGGGAGCAGCGUGCUGUCUGACAUCUCUUCUUGUAAGGAUGCUCUCUCGGGUCAGGGCCCCCUUUGGAACGCCUUUCAUCUGCUAUCCUUGCUGCAAGUUCAGCCACAUUGGGGGUAAGACUUUGACGGGUGGAUGGGGGUGCCCAGUUCUGCCCACACCGGGAGCGAGAGCACCUCACCGAGUUGUAAGGGGCGAAUGAGUGUGCAUGUGAGCGGCUGGGGGCCGGGCUGUCACUGUUACUGCGCAGAAGGCCCGGAUCUGCACGCUGCUGUGGCUUUGUGCACGUUAGCAAACCUAACUGAGAAGCUGUGAAGGAUGAGAUGAAUUCAAGUGGAAAUUAUGACAGUUUCUUCCCGCGCUGCCAACCGAUUCUCUCGCAUCCAGCACUUCUGUUUAAAGAGGUGCUCCCCGCGUUCUCUGUGUCCGGUGAGGCUGGCCCUUAGACCCUCACUGCUGACGCCAGGUCUCCCUCACCGUGAGCGCAGCCGGUCAGCAGACACCAGCUCGGGAGGCCCGACUGCCUGAGAUCGGCGUUCAUUCCAGAAAUGUGGAAAACGCCGGCACUGGGCGGGGGACGCUGCGCCUGGGCUGAGGGUGGAUGCAGUGCCCUGAGACCUGCUUCCCGGUUCACUCGGCUGCUCCCGAAGCCCAAACCCCAGCCUCCAUGCAGUCAGGGAACACAAGUUCACAGUUGCCCUUUGCCCUCCAGAAUGCAUUUCCUACCAGCCCAGGGGCUGACGCAGGCGGAGAGAAGCCUUUUCCUAUCUGAUUUGCAUUUUCAUUGCUUGUGCUGAGUGCCCAGACUGAAACCACACUGGGCCUCCUGCCCUCUGACCUCCCAGGCACAACCCCCUGAAAGCCAGGAGAAAUGAAGAUUCCUGCCUCCCUUCCUGGCUCCUUUCGUUUUCUGCCCUUCAUUCUUUUUUUUUUUCAUGCUUCUGUUCAUCUGUGUUUUUUUUUUAAUUGAAAAAUUAAUGUAUGCAAAUGAUAAAACAAGACCCAAAUGCUACAGAGAGGUGUGCAAUGAAAAGUAAGUCCCCUUCUACCCCAAACCUUCAGGGUGCCAGACCCACCUUUCCAGAGCUAAGCAAGGUCAUCCGUUUCUUCUCAGAAAUAGUCUUUAUCCACGUGCAUGCGUGUAUGUGUAUCCGUGAACAUGUGUGCACAUACACAGCUGUGUGUUUGCAACAUGGCACGCACCUCUUCUUACACAAGCGGGGGCAUCCAUGUGCUUUGUUCUUGUUCCUUCGUUCAUCCCGGAGACUGUUCUGCCUCACCUCGGACAGACCCACCCCUUCUUUCUCUCUGACUGCGCACUGGUUGUUGGUACUCAGGCACCAGGAGGAAUGUAUCCACCCCUCGCUCCAGAGAGACAUGAGGCCGUUCCAGGUCUUCACUGUAGUAAACAGAGCUGCAUGGAACGGGGCUCCGGCACGCUUGUGGAAUGUGCCAUGUGCCAUGGACAGCAGGAACCUCAGAGGCAGAACUGCAUGGGGGACCCGCCGUCAUGCUCCCGCCCUAGGGGGUCAGCACGACGCCCUGCUGCCACACCACGCAGCUGGCCACGGGCCAGGGGGCCCUUCAGGUGUCCCACCGGGUACUCACUCUCACCAGAGAGCAAAGGCGUUCAAUCAGCUGGAUUUUCAAAUGACUUAACCACCAAAUCCACCUCCUCAGCCCUCGGUUUGUGAAUGUGAGUCCUUCCCUGGAGACACUAUUAGAAAGAAGAGGAAGAAGAAGAAGGAGAAGGAGAAGAAGGAGGGGGAGGAGAAGGAGAAGAGGAGGGCCGGUGGAGAAGAGCAUCCUCAGAACGUGGAAAGCAUUGCUUUGGGCACCAAGGGAGCCAGGCAGACUAGAACCCAGACCCGCAGACCCCGGUCCCUUCGCUCUGCCCGAGCUCCCCCAGCCCAACAGAGCAUUCAACAGGACUGUCCUUGCUGGCUCAGAAACAGCGAGACCCGCACCUGUGCUCCUUUGAGGCUUCCUUAGUCCCCAAGUCCCCAGAAGGGGUUUUGAACACCCACAUCGUCCCUGCCACCACACAGCCACUUCGGAGGUGAACAUCUCUGGGGUUCACAGACGAGAUGGAACCGCCCCAGAUACGGUCUCUGAAGCAGAAACCGCUGCAGGAUGGGGCUAGGCUGCCCCUGCCCGGCGGGACAGGACAGCGCUGUGACCUUGCUUCCCAAGCAUGGCCGUUUCCCGUGGACAGUGGCCCGGCCACCACGAACCGCCCUGCCGAGCCCACCCCGUUCACACCACAACGACCGAUCUAGAAAUUAUUUAUAGACCCAAAAUCCACAGAAACCGUUGUGUCUGCCGUUGCUAUGGCAACAGGGACGUGGAGUAAGCUUGGGCUUGAAGGGACCACGGAGGCCGGUGAAGGCGGCUGAUCUCCAGCCGGGAGCCCCCAGCUCCCACGCGCUAUCGGGGGUCACCAGAAUUGAAAGGAGGCUUUCAAUUGUGCUUCCAGUGAGGGCUGGCGCGUGUCCCGGAAAGCAGCACCACCGGGGUGUUAGUGGUUGGGUUUUGUUAAGCCUCUUGGUGAAAUCGUCCAGAACAAGGCCUCCGAGCCUGGCGGAGCAUCGGCCAGCCGUGGAGCCUUUCAAGAUUCUGGCUCCUCACCCCAGGCCAGCUGCAGCAGACUCCCAGGAGGAUGGGGCCCAGGAGUCUGUAUUUUACUUUUUGGAUUGGUGGAAACCCAUGGCACUCAGUGACCUAACCCCACAGAGAGCCACACACGUGCCCUUGCGUCCACUCACUGUCCUAGGCACUUUGGUUAGCGUCUCAAUUUCGGCUGGUUUUCUGGAUGAAGAUCAAACACAUACAAUGUAAGUUCUAUCCUU
This is an RNA transcript of Mirounga angustirostris (Northern elephant seal), 7810 nucleotides long. It is a transcript of the gene named junctophilin 3, with no coding region annotated. Lineage: Eukaryota; Metazoa; Chordata; Mammalia; Carnivora; Phocidae. The record is from RefSeq and is a predicted model, not a curated record. The transcript is spliced from 5 exons.